UACGAAGGGGGCUAGCGUUGCUCGGAAUCACUGGGCGUAAAGCGCACGUAGGCGGGUUGUUAAGUCAGGGGUGAAAUCCUGGAGCUCAACUCCAGAACUGCCUUUGAUACUGAGGAUCUCGAGUCCGGGAGAGGUGAGUGGAACUCCGAGUGUAGAGGUGAAAUUCGUAGAUAUUCGGAAGAACACCAGUGGCGAAGGCGGCUCACUGGCCCGGUACUGACGCUGAGGUGCGAAAGCGUGGGGAGCAAACAGG
This 253-nucleotide ribosomal RNA is filed under the name uncultured bacterium. RNAcentral describes it as "partial 16S ribosomal RNA". It matches the Rfam family "Bacterial small subunit ribosomal RNA", at positions 524 to 776 of the family's 1533-position model. The record is from RNAcentral.